RNAcentral lists this unclassified non-coding RNA (403 nucleotides) under uncultured fungus. RNAcentral's name for it is "sequence contains ITS1". The record is from RNAcentral. Lineage: Eukaryota; Fungi.
UUAAAUAUUAUAUCAUACUCAGACAGCAAUAUAAAAGAAUUAAUGGGUCCUCUGGCAGGCACUAACCAGCCAAGGCCAGUAGUUGUAAAACAGGCCUGCCAAGGCAACAAAGAUAUUAUAGACAAAGGGUGGGAGAUAUACCCUAAAGGGCAUGUUCUCUGUAAUGAUCCUUCCGCAGGUUCACCUACGGAACGCAAACUCUACUAGUUUUUACAAAAGUAGGCCGGUCAUAUCUAAAUCCUAUGGCUACAGCUAAGCAUGCAGUAGCACCAAAGACCACCUUUGUUUGAUCUGUGAACUGCAGUUAAGCAGCUGCUUGUUACCUUUAGGUAUCCAAGCACAUUAAAGGUGUUGCCUAUAUAAUAGACUGGGAUCAAGGCUUCAGUAUGGUGUUUCAUGAAAA